UGUAUCUUUUAAAAAGAUGGAAGAUCCUAUUAGAUCUAUGAGGUGGUAGAGAUACUACUUCUACUAGCUUAGUUUGAAUAGGUUCUAAGUGGUCUAUGACCUACUGCUCUUUAGAGACUGUCUCUUCAAGUUUAAUUUGUCUUCCACUACCUCCAUCUUAGAUAAAUAGUUUUUUCAAGAAUGUGGCAUGUCGGCUCACAAUCACAUUGUGAUCCUCUGAGAAGUAAAAAUAAUAUCC
Molecule: long non-coding RNA, 238 nt
Filed under: Elaeis guineensis (African oil palm)
Lineage: Eukaryota; Viridiplantae; Streptophyta; Magnoliopsida; Arecales; Arecaceae
Description: long non-coding RNA (EGUI_LNC025468)
Source: RNAcentral